GGAUAGUGACUCUGUUGUUCCUUCUAAUGCAGAAAGCACUUCGACAAUUGAAUUUUUCUCUUUUUACAGUGAAGCGAUUAUUGAAUGACAUUCAGCCAUCAAGGAAUGAAGGCAGAAUAAAUAUAUUUCGUUAGCAUCAUUUUCAAAAAACUUUCUAAUAAGCACAGGCUUUUUGUCAUAUUCCUUUAAAGGCACGUAUAAUUUAAGAAUCCUUUCAAUUGCCAGGAAAAGACUAAGCCACCUCGCCUAUGGUUCCAACAGUGUACACGAAAAAGUGAUGAAAUUUUCAUUACUAAGGAUUCUACGUCAACGUCCAACUCCAACUCUGUAGCAUGUCGUAUUGCGUUAUGGAGAAUAUGCGCAGGACAUCCAAUACCCAUUAUCUCUCGAUCUAAACUUCGACUAAGAUGUGUGAUUAGUGUGAUCACAUUGUUUCCCUCUUCUAGCAAACACCUCCAAAAUUUACAUUGGCAUUAUCACCUGUAAAAAAUACUCAUUUCUCUUUUAAAUUAUGUUUUUCAAAUACAUGGUUUGCAAUAGUC
Molecule: long non-coding RNA, 542 nt
Organism: Zophobas morio
Lineage: Eukaryota; Metazoa; Arthropoda; Insecta; Coleoptera; Tenebrionidae
Exons: 2
Source: RefSeq, a predicted model, not a curated record